RNAcentral lists this ribosomal RNA (319 nucleotides) under uncultured eukaryote. RNAcentral describes it as "partial 18S ribosomal RNA". It matches the Rfam family "Eukaryotic small subunit ribosomal RNA", at positions 1470 to 1796 of the family's 1831-position model. The record is from RNAcentral.
CCCUUAGAUGUUCUGGGCCGCACGCGCGCUACAAUGGUCUUCGCAAACGGAUGCAUUCUCGAAGGAGAAUGCCAAUCUUGGAAUCUAUGCCUUGGUCGGGACAGUUGCUUGCAAUUUUUCGACUCGAACCAGGAAUUCCUUGUAAUCGUGAUUCAUCACAUCACGAUGAAUACGUCCCUGCCCUUUGUACACACCGCCCGUCGCUCCUACCGAUUGAACGAUCCGGUGAAUUAUUUGGAGUAGCUCUGGAAGUUGCAGAACUUCCUAUGUCACGAAAUUUUGUAAACCUUAUCGUUUAGAGGAAGGAAAAGUCGUAACA